Molecule: ribosomal RNA, 355 nt
Filed under: uncultured Bacillus sp.
Lineage: Bacteria; Bacillati; Bacillota; Bacilli; Caryophanales; Bacillaceae
Description: bacterial SSU rRNA
Rfam family: Bacterial small subunit ribosomal RNA
Source: RNAcentral
GUAGCCGACCUGAGAGGGUGAUCGGCCACACUGGGACUGAGACACGGCCCAGACUCCUACGGGAGGCAGCAGUAGGGAAUCUUCCGCAAUGGACGAAAGUCUGACGGAGCAACGCCGCGUGAGUGAAGAAGGUUUUCGGAUCGUAAAGCUCUGUUGUCAGGGAAGAACAAGUACGAGAGUAACUGCUCGUACCUUGACGGUACCUGGCCAGAAAGCCACGGCUAACUACGUGCCAGCAGCCGCGGUAAUACGUAGGUGGCAAGCGUUGUCCGGAAUUAUUGGGCGUAAAGCGCGCGCAGGCGGUUCCUUAAGUCUGAUGUGAAAGCCCACGGCUCAACCGUGGAGGGUCAUUGGA